Nomascus leucogenys (northern white-cheeked gibbon) is the source of this 300-nucleotide non-coding RNA. It matches the Rfam family "Metazoan signal recognition particle RNA". Rfam says of the family: The signal recognition particle (SRP) is a universally conserved ribonucleoprotein. It is involved in the co-translational targeting of proteins to membranes. The record is from Rfam. Lineage: Eukaryota; Metazoa; Chordata; Mammalia; Primates; Hylobatidae.
ACUGAGCAUGGUGGCAUAUGCCUGUAGUCCCAGCUAUUCAGGAGGCUGACAGGGGAGGAUUGCUUGAGCUCAGGAGUUCUGGGCUGUAGUGUCCUAUGCCAAUCGGGUGUCCACACUAAGUUCGGCAUCAGUAUAGUGACGUCCUGGGGGUGGGGGACCACCAGAUUGCCUAGCAAAGGGUGAACUGGCCCAGAUUGGAAUCGGAGCAGGUCAAAACUCCUAUGCUGAUCAAUAGUGGGAUCGUGCUUGGACAUAGCCACUGCAUGCCAGCCUGGGCAACAUAGUGAGGGCCCAUCUCUU